This 434-nucleotide ribosomal RNA is filed under the name uncultured bacterium. Its description in RNAcentral is "bacterial SSU rRNA". It matches the Rfam family "Bacterial small subunit ribosomal RNA", at positions 355 to 787 of the family's 1533-position model. The record is from RNAcentral.
UGGGGAAUAUUGGGCAAUGGGCGCAAGCCUGACCCAGCAACGCCGCGUGAGGGAGGAAGGCCCUAUGGGUCGUAAACCUCUUUUGUCAGGGAACAAAAGCGAGUAUGUAUACUAGUCUGAGUGUACCUGAAGAAAAAGCAUCGGCUAACUCCGUGCCAGCAGCCGCGGUAAUACGGAGGAUGCGAGCGUUAUCCGGAUUUAUUGGGUUUAAAGGGUGCGUAGGCGGCGAUGCAAGUCAGCGGUAAAAGCCCGGGGCUCAACCCCGGCGAGCCGUUGAAACUGCAGUGCUAGAGAAGGCGAGAGGUACGCGGAAUGCGCAGUGUAGCGGUGAAAUGCUUAGAUAUUGCGCAGAACUCCGAUUGCGAAGGCAGCGUACUGGCGCCUGACUGACGCUGAGGCACGAAAGCGUGGGGAUCGAACAGGAUUAGAUACCC